Molecule: non-coding RNA, 74 nt
Organism: Podarcis lilfordi (Lilford's wall lizard)
Lineage: Eukaryota; Metazoa; Chordata; Lepidosauria; Squamata; Lacertidae
Source: the annotation of a GenBank genome assembly
GCUUGGAUAGCUCAUUUGGUUAGAGUGUGGUGCUGAUGAUGCCAAGGUUGCAGGUUUGAUCCUCGUAAAGGACA